Molecule: long non-coding RNA, 2071 nt
Filed under: Helianthus annuus (common sunflower)
Lineage: Eukaryota; Viridiplantae; Streptophyta; Magnoliopsida; Asterales; Asteraceae
Description: hypothetical non coding rna
Source: RNAcentral
GUUCUCCUUCACACUUGUAAUCAUGUAGCCCCAAAUAGAGAGCCUAGUACCCGACAAUCCUAGGGAUUGUGUGCAAGGUUCUCGAAGAUCGUACCAGACAGUCUUCGAGACUGUGUGCGAUCUAAGCAGCGGCACUGAGUUCUUUAAUAAAAUAUUUCCUUUUGUUCUUGUCGAUUUGAUCUUUUAUUCCGCGUUCGAUCGAACCGUUGAGUGAUGUCACGGGUAAUUCGGGACUUACAAGUGGUAUCAGAGCCAUUGAAGUCUUUCAAAGGCUCGGUUUUUUAUAUCGCUCGAAGAACGAGAAGAAGAUUUACACAGUGUCGGGGGGAUUUAUGUUCGUAAAUGGAAAGAUCUCCGGUUCGUAAAACCUGAUGUUCAUUCACAGAUCUAAAAAUUUUAAGAUUUGGUGUUAUUUCUGUUCAUCCAUAUUCACACAGUCGAGUCUACUCUCAAAAAAAAGUCCCAACCCUAAUAUGUAACCUCAGCCGCCAGUAUGAUUAAGAUGAAGGUCGCCGGUGAUGUUUGACGACGGAGGUACGGUGACAGUGUGCGUGGAGACAAGGGUGGCGGUACGAUAACAAGAACAGUGAUGGUAGUCGGAGGUCACGUCGGAGAAGACGAACAGUGUUCGGUGGUGGCGGUGCUCCGGCGGAGGUGGUUCGUUGUCUGUUGAACGGAGAAGACGGAGGACGACGGUGGUGUACGAGGUGUUCGCAGAUGAUAUGGAGUUGCACGUGAUGUCCGACAGAGGUGAUGAUGACAGAAUGAAGACGGAGGGAGACGAUGGUGAAGGAAUGAGUGUCUCAGUGAUGAUGAUCGGAGAACAGUGGUGAACGGGGACCGGAGGUAGCACAGUGAAAAUGAUGUUUCGGGUUGUUUCGGAAUGACCUGAGAUGGAGAAUGGGUGAUCGAUGAUCAGGAAACGGAGUUGCAGGUUGAUAACAAACAUCGGAGAUGGUUGUUAAUUGUCGUCGGAAGGUUGUAUGGUAGUGAAGCGAUGGCGUGUGGAUGAUGAUGGUGAAAGCGGUGACCGGAGUUGAUCGGAGAAAACCGUGUAGUGGCGACGAAGAUGUCACGUGAUGUUGUUGAUGAUGAAAAGUAAUGAUGAUAUGAUGAUGCUUAAUGUUGUUGUCGGCUGCUAUUGAUGAAUAUGAUGUUGAAGAUGAUGAUGUCACAUCAUCAUCAUCAAAAGAAUAAUGAAGAAAAUCGAGUGACGGCUGCACAUGUUGUCAUUCAGGGAAUUUAAAAAGCCCUAACAAUGCUAGCCGUUGGAUGGAAUGCACGAUCAAUGGUCAAGAAAUAAAAAGAAUGUUGGAAUGAUUGUUUGCGGCUGUCAUACGAUGUCCCAUCAUUUUCUCAAAAAUCCCUAAGGUAUGUCAACCAUUAGAUGGAGAAUGAUCUACGGUUAGAAAGAAAGGAGAUAUAUUUGCUUUUAGUGUAUAAUUUUGUGAGGUCAACGGAGUACAGCCAAGAAGAUUCAAUGGAUGGUAAUAUUUUUUAAGCCCAAAUGAUUGAAGCCCACAUUUGUGUAAUAAUGGAUCAGUUAAUACUGUUGGGCCUGUCUAAUAUCUCAAUCAGAUUGGAGGUGGACCUGUUGAACUUGGUUGGGCCUGUGCUGAAGAUUUAAUUUCAGGAUUUCAUUUUGGGCUUCACAUUUCAUCCGAAAUACAUAAGAUACAGUCCAUAAUCAUCAUUUCGAAUCCAUAUCUUUCAUCCGACAUCAUCUGAGAUGACAUCGAAUCAUUCGAGAAGACCCAAGACUGGAGAUCGUCUAAACCAUAAUAAAGAGAGCAUAAAACUAAGGGGAGAUUGUUAGAUUAGUUUUGAGCUUGGGCUUAGGCCAUGUGGGCCAAUGGGUAGUGGGUUCUAUAUAUAGUAUUCAUUAGAAUAUUGUAGUUAGAGCUCUCCCAUAGUGUCACCAUGUAAUCCCCAAAGGAGAACCUUGUACCCGACAAUCCUAGGGAUUGUGUGCAAGGUUCUCGAAGAUCGUACCAGACGGUUCGUUGAAACCGUGUGCGAUCUAAUCAGCGACACUAAGAUUCGUAAUGAAAAAUCUCUUUUUGUUCUUGUC